CAGACAUGACGGGCCUCACUCAUCUCCUUGGUUUACUGAUGAUCUUCCUUACAGGUGCCAAAUGUGACAUCCAGAUGACCCAGUCUCCAUCCUCUCUGUCUGCAUCUCUGGGGGACAGUGUCACCAUCACAUGCCAAUCAAGUCAGGACAUCUACAGUUAUUUAGCAUGGUAUCAGCAGGAACCAGGGAAACGUCCUAAGCUCCUGAUCUAUGGUGCAACCAGCUUGGCAAAUGGGGUCCCAUCGAGGUUCAGUGGCAGUGGAUCUGGCACACAGUAUUCUCUAAAGAUCAGCAGCCUGCAGCCUGAAGAUAUUGCAACUUAUUACUGUCAGCAGGGUUGGAGUACCCCUCCCACAGUGAUCCAAGCCAUGACAUAAACCACCCAGGG
Phodopus roborovskii (desert hamster) is the source of this 388-nucleotide non-coding RNA. The record is from the annotation of a RefSeq genome assembly. NCBI's taxonomy places the organism in Eukaryota, Metazoa, Chordata, Mammalia, Rodentia, Cricetidae.